RNAcentral lists this ribosomal RNA (495 nucleotides) under uncultured bacterium. RNAcentral describes it as "partial 16S ribosomal RNA". It matches the Rfam family "Bacterial small subunit ribosomal RNA", at positions 28 to 523 of the family's 1533-position model. The record is from RNAcentral.
GAUGAACGCUAGCGGGAGGCCUAACACAUGCAAGCCGAGCGGUAUUUAUUCUUCGGAAUAGAGAGAGCGGCGUACGGGUGCGGAACACGUGUGCAACCUGCCUUUAUCAGGGGGAUAGCCUUUCGAAAGGAAGAUUAAUACCCCAUAAUAUAUUGAUUGGCAUCAAUUGAUAUUGAAAACUCCGGUGGAUAAAGAUGGGCACGCGCAAGAUUGGAUAGUUGGUGAGGUAACGGCUCACCAAGUCGAUGAUCUUUAGGGGGCCUGAGAGGGUGAUCCCCCACACUGGUACUGAGACACGGACCAGACUCCUACGGGAGGCAGCAGUGAGGAAUAUUGGACAAUGGGUGAGAGCCUGAUCCAGCCAUCCCGCGUGAAGGACGACGGUUCUAUGGAUUGUAAACUUCUUUUAUAUAGGGAUAAACCUACUUACGUGUAAGUAGCUGAAGGUACUAUAUGAAUAAGCACCGGCCAACUCCGUGCCAGCCGCCGCCGUAA